Molecule: ribosomal RNA, 253 nt
Filed under: uncultured bacterium
Lineage: Bacteria
Description: partial 16S ribosomal RNA
Rfam family: Bacterial small subunit ribosomal RNA
Source: RNAcentral
UACGGAGGAUGCAAGCGUUAUCCGGAAUGAUUGGGCGUAAAGCGUCCGCAGGUGGCAAUGUAAGUCUGCUGUCAAAGCGUCUGGCUCAACCAGAUAAAGGCAGUGGAAACUACAUAGCUAGAGUAAGGUAGGGGUAGAGGGAAUUCCUGGUGUAGCGGUGAAAUGCGUAGAGAUCAGGAAGAACACCGGUGGCGAAAGCGCUCUGCUGGACCUAAACUGACACUGAGGGACGAAAGCUAGGGUAGCGAAUGGG